This 490-nucleotide ribosomal RNA is filed under the name uncultured bacterium. RNAcentral describes it as "partial 16S ribosomal RNA". It matches the Rfam family "Bacterial small subunit ribosomal RNA", at positions 30 to 507 of the family's 1533-position model. The record is from RNAcentral.
AUUGAACGCUGGCGGCAUGCCUUAUAUAUGCAAGUCGAACGGCAGCAUGAUCUAGCUUGCUAGAUCUAUGGCGAGUGGCGAACGGGUGAGUAAUACAUCGCAACGUGCACUGUAGCGGGGGAUAACUAGUCGAAAGAUUAGCCAAUACCGCAUACGACCUGAGGGUGAAAGUGGUGGAUCGCAAGGCCUCUUGCUAUCUGAGUGGCUGAUGUCUGAUUAGCUAGUUGGUGAGGUAAAGGCUCACCAAGGCGACGAUCAGUAGCUGGUCUGAGAGGACGAUCAGCCACACUGGGACUGAGACACGGCCCAGACUCCUACGGGAGGCAGCAGUGGGGAAUUUUGGACAAUGGGCGAAAGCCUGACCCAGCAAUGCCGCGUGUGUGAAGAAGGCCUUCGGAUUGUAAAGCACUUUGGUCCGGAAAGAAAUGGCUCUUGUUAAUACCUGGGGUCGAUGACGGUACCGGAAGAAUAAGGACCGGCUAACUACGUG